UUUUUUACGAAGUCCGUGAAUUAAUUGUUGGUGGAUUAAUUGUUGUUGGACUAGAUACUGUGAAAUAAUGACUGUGCGAAUUUAAUUAAUUCAUGUCCGUGAGGAAUAUUUAUUGGACUCAAUUCCGGGUUGGAUCCGAUAAAUUAAAUAAAUAUUAUAAAAUCUAGUUCGUGAUAAAUAAAUUGUGGACUGUAUAAUUUAAAGAAAAUACAAAAAAAUACCGUGAAUUAAAUCAAAACAAAUUCUCUUCCUAUUGACUUGGUCACCAAGUCAAAUUUAAUUUGAGAUUUUAUAAAGAUUAACCUCCUCCGUGAAAAGAUAUCCAUCCUCCGUAAUCUACAAAUAAAAUACCAAAUAAAUACAAUUAAAUCAAAAAUAAAAAAAAUAUAGAAACCAAGAAAACCUCCCUCCUCAAUACACGAAAAAAACGUUCCCCUCAACCCCAAAAUCUCUCCAUAUCUUUAAACCACCCCUCCAUGUAUUUUAAAUCCCCUAACUCAGUUAUUUCCUACUCUGCUCGUUCGCUGCAACAAAGAAAACCAAGCUAUUCUUCUCAAUCAAAUUCAAGAAACCGAGAACUAAAGCAAGGGGGGUCCCGGCUUCGUUCAGUUACAAUCUGCAAAUUGAAGGUUGAGCGGCGACGAGGAUGUGGUGGUGUUGAGCAAGUGAAUUUAAGAUUAUAAUUGUCUUUGAACCUUGAGUGUCGUUGUGUCUUCACACAUGACGUCACUCUUUCUCUUGGUCGUUUCCGCUGUGACGUUUCGUUUAAUUAUGUUUUAUUUGGGGCCGACAACUAUAAUUGUUAGGAUAAUGGAUAUUUUGAAUUUCUUGUUGGAUAAUGUCAAACUCUUGGUUAUUUAUUGGGAUAUUAAUUGUGGUCCAACUUGUGUUGAAACCCUAAUUCUUUUCGUCCGUUUCAUUAAAUUCUUUUCAUCACGAUCGCCCGUAUUUAAUAACCCUAAAGGGCGGUCGUGACAGUUUGGUAUCAGAGCCUCAGUUUCUUUCCGCUCUGGACCCAAGAGUCUUUUGGAGUCAAAAUCUAUCCUUGUAUUAAUUGGCUAAAGUGUUAAACCUCGAAGGCUCAACACCACAACUCGUCACGCCCAACCACGAAAGAAGCGGUAAGAACA
RNA transcript from Salvia splendens (bonfire salvia), 1130 nucleotides. RefSeq lists it as uncharacterized. NCBI's taxonomy places the organism in Eukaryota, Viridiplantae, Streptophyta, Magnoliopsida, Lamiales, Lamiaceae. The record is from RefSeq and is a predicted model, not a curated record. The transcript has 3 exons.